This 506-nucleotide ribosomal RNA is filed under the name uncultured bacterium. RNAcentral describes it as "partial 16S ribosomal RNA". It matches the Rfam family "Bacterial small subunit ribosomal RNA", at positions 30 to 523 of the family's 1533-position model. The record is from RNAcentral.
AUUGAACGCUGGCGGCAGGCCUAACACAUGCAAGUCGAACGGUAGCACAGAGGAGCUUGCUCCUCGGGUGACGAGUGGCGGACGGGUGAGUAAUGUCUGGGAAACUGCCCGAUGGAGGGGGAUAACUACUGGAAACGGUAGCUAAUACCGCAUAAUGUCGCAAGACCAAAGAGGGGGACCUUCGGGCCUCUUGCCAUCGGAUGUGCCCAGAUGGGAUUAGCUAGUAGGUGGGGUAACGGCUCACCUAGGCGACGAUCCCUAGCUGGUCUGAGAGGAUGACCAGCCACACUGGAACUGAGACACGGUCCAGACUCCUACGGGAGGCAGCAGUGGGGAAUAUUGCACAAUGGGCGCAAGCCUGAUGCAGCCAUGCCGCGUGUAUGAAGAAGGCCUUCGGGUUGUAAAGUACUUUCAGCGAGGAGGAAGGUGUUGUGGUUAAUAACCGCAGCAAUUGACGUUACUCGCAGAAGAAGCACCGGCUAACUCCGUGCCAGCAGCCGCCGUAA